AAAAACACUACCUAUGAAAAAGCCGCAUCAGCACAUCAAUUUGUUUUGUUUUGUGAGUUUACCUUAUGCCACGUGGUUUAUGAGAUGAUGAUUGUCAUUCGACAUUUUCAUUGUAAGGACGCUUCAUCUUCCUUCAAUUCUUUGUAUCGUUUAAUCUCUUCAUUUACUACCUUCUAAACUAAGUCUCACAAGCGGCACUUCCUCUCCCCUACGAUAUAAAAGUUCAAUCUGAUCAAUCGAUUGUCUUCAUCUUCCUCCCCUGCAAUCUGGCUCUCUCUUUCAUGACAGAAUUUCUUCAAACAAAAACAAUAUGCAAACUCUGAAGUGGUUCGAAACCCUAAUUUUGGAGAUCAUGCGGAUUCAUGGAACCAUAUUUUGCUAAGGAUAUCAAAAAAGAGGAUAGAACUUUACAAUCGUUCAAAGGAGCUUAUAGCUAGAUUUCGAUCGAUCACAGCUCUCAUGUUUAGGAGCCUCUACACACUAAUUAUAAAUACGGCACAUGAGCAGUUUUUGAUAAAGACAAGGGAGUACGUAGUGGACUGUACAUAGUAAUCAAUAAAGCUCUCCAAAUCUAAUACUUGCUUCGACCAUUUGCAUAGGACAGCAAAGGUCCAAUCCUCCUUCUGUACUGAGACGACGCCGAGAAUCCAUCCAAGUGAGCUUGGCUACAUAAUCUAUAGGCAGGUUUUACGCUAUUAUUUAGGGGAGGAAGAUGGAUUAGGCGAGGCUUUGAUUCACUUCUUUUUAUCUAUGAUUCGUGCUUAUUUUUUUU
This is a long non-coding RNA of Arabidopsis lyrata subsp. lyrata, 772 nucleotides long. RefSeq lists it as uncharacterized. Lineage: Eukaryota; Viridiplantae; Streptophyta; Magnoliopsida; Brassicales; Brassicaceae. The record is from RefSeq and is a predicted model, not a curated record. The transcript is spliced from 6 exons.